Molecule: unclassified non-coding RNA, 394 nt
Filed under: soil metagenome
Description: partial contains 5.8S ribosomal RNA, internal transcribed spacer 2, and large subunit ribosomal RNA
Rfam family: 5.8S ribosomal RNA (bases 1-120)
Source: RNAcentral
GAUGAAGAACGUAGCGAAAUGUGAUAAGUAAUGUGAAUUGCAGAAUUCAGUGAAUCAUCGAAUCUUUGAACGCACCUUGCGCCUUUUGGUAUUCCGAAAGGCACACCUGUUUGAGCGUCAUGAAUACCUCAAUCUCCAUCUUUUCUUCGGAUUGAUGGGUGACUUGGAUGUUGAGCCCUGCUGGUAUGCUAUAUCAGCUGGCUUUAAACUUAUUAGCCGGCUCUGUACUGGAUCGGUUUGACUCGACGUGAUAAUAUUAUCGUUGAGGAUGCAUGUCUCAUGCAGCCGGAAAGUAUCAAAGCAGCUUCUAGCUUGCCUUUAGUGCACUUUUACAUUUUAGACCUCAGAUCAGGUGGGACUACCCGCUGAACUUAAGCAUAUCAUAAGCGGAGGA